This 202-nucleotide unclassified non-coding RNA is filed under the name uncultured Sebacina. Its description in RNAcentral is "sequence contains ITS1". Lineage: Eukaryota; Fungi; Basidiomycota; Agaricomycetes; Sebacinales; Sebacinaceae. The record is from RNAcentral.
GUGAAACUUCAAAGUCGGCUCGUCCAUACUGUGCUGGUGGAGACACAUGUGCACGUUUUGGCGGGUCGCAACAUCCACACACCUGUGCAUCUAUGACUCUGAGUGCCGCUUUGCAUGGCCUUGACCGGCCUGGCGCUCGAGUAUUUUCACACACUCUCGAAUGUAACGGAAUGUCUUCUUGUGCGUAAUUGUACAAACAAAA